CCUACGGGAGGCAGCAGUGGGGAAUCUUGCGCAAUGGGGGAAACCCUGAUGCAGCGACGCCGCGUGAGUGAAGAAGUAUUUCGGUACGUAAAGCUCUAUCAGCAGGGAAGAACAUGACGGUACCUGACUAAGCAGCCCCUGCUAACUACUUGCCAGCAGCCGCGGUAAUACGUAGGGGGAAAGCGUUAUCCGGAAUUACUGGGUGUAACGGGAGCGUAGACGGCUGUGCAAGUCUGGAGUGAAAGCCCACGGCUUAACCAUGGAAGGGCUUUGGAAACUGGACAGCUAGAGUGCAGGAGAGGUAAGUGGAAUUCCUAGUGUAGCGGUGAAAUGCGCAGAGAUUAGGAGGAACACCAGUGGCGAAGGCGACUUACUGGACUGUAACUGACGUUGAGGCGCGAAAGCGUGGGGAGCAAACAGGAUUAGAUACCCGGGUAGUC
This 440-nucleotide ribosomal RNA is filed under the name uncultured bacterium. RNAcentral describes it as "partial 16S ribosomal RNA". It matches the Rfam family "Bacterial small subunit ribosomal RNA", at positions 338 to 795 of the family's 1533-position model. The record is from RNAcentral.